GCGUGGGUCGGCCCGCCGGCGGGAACCAGCGGGCUGGGGGACACCGUCGCCUCAUUCCCCGCGGGCGGCGGACCGGUCCGGAGGGCGAGGAGCGCCCUCCGGACCGCG
This 108-nucleotide non-coding RNA is filed under the name Streptomyces rubrolavendulae. RNAcentral's name for it is "Streptomyces RNA 4115". It matches the Rfam family "Streptomyces RNA 4115". Rfam says of the family: Identified by deep sequencing of transcriptome at the end of exponential growth phase. Sequencing size consistent with notrthern blot size. The record is from Rfam by way of RNAcentral. Lineage: Bacteria; Bacillati; Actinomycetota; Actinomycetes; Kitasatosporales; Streptomycetaceae.